This 78-nucleotide microRNA precursor is filed under the name Marmota monax (woodchuck). Lineage: Eukaryota; Metazoa; Chordata; Mammalia; Rodentia; Sciuridae. The record is from RNAcentral.
UUUCUUCUACUUCUUCUUCUUCUUCUUCUUUUUCUUCAAGAAGAAGAAGAGGAGGAGGAGGAGGAGAAGAAGAAGAAG